AAUUAUGUGUGUCAGUGUAAAAGUCGACCACCUCUCCGACCCGUCUUGAAACACGGACCGAGGAGUGUAACUUGUACGCGAGUCAAUGGGUGAAAAACCUUAAGGCGAAAUGAAAGUGAAGGCACGGUUAACCGGCUGACAUGGGAAACGUCCGGCGGCUUGUGUUGACGAGACGUUACACCAUGGCCCUGUCUUGUCUGCAUGCAGAUGGGCAGCGGUAGAGCGUACAGGUUGCGACCCGAAAGAUGGUGAACUAUGCCUGAGCAGGACGAAGCCAGAGGAAACUCUGGUGGAAGUCCGUAUCGGUUCUGACGUGCAAAUCGAUCGAUAGACU
Molecule: ribosomal RNA, 334 nt
Filed under: Crenosoma melesi
Lineage: Eukaryota; Metazoa; Nematoda; Chromadorea; Rhabditida; Crenosomatidae
Description: partial large subunit ribosomal RNA
Rfam family: Eukaryotic large subunit ribosomal RNA
Source: RNAcentral